This 323-nucleotide unclassified non-coding RNA is filed under the name soil metagenome. RNAcentral describes it as "partial contains 5.8S ribosomal RNA, internal transcribed spacer 2, and large subunit ribosomal RNA". The stretch from base 1 to 120 matches the Rfam family "5.8S ribosomal RNA", at positions 35 to 154 of the family's 154-position model. The record is from RNAcentral.
GAUGAAGAACGCAGUGAAAUGCGAUAAGUAAUGCGAAUUGCAGAAUUCAGUGAGUCAUCGAAUCUUUGAACGCACAUUGCGCCCUGUGGUAUUCCGCAGGGCAUGCCUGUUCGAGCGUCAUUUCAACCCUCAAGCUCUGCUUGGUGUUGGGCCCUGCCCGCUGCGGCCGGCCCUAAAGACAGUGGCGGUGCCGCCUGGCCCUGAGCGUAGUACAUCUCUCGCUCCAGUGCCCGGUGGUAGCCUGCCAGAACCCCAACUCUCGUGGUUGACCUCGGAUCAGGUAGGGAUACCCGCUGAACUUAAGCAUCUCAAUAAGCGGAGGA